Molecule: unclassified non-coding RNA, 253 nt
Filed under: uncultured Pirellulaceae bacterium
Lineage: Bacteria; Pseudomonadati; Planctomycetota; Planctomycetia; Pirellulales; Pirellulaceae
Description: contains 16S-23S intergenic spacer region
Rfam family: Bacterial small subunit ribosomal RNA
Source: RNAcentral
UACGAGCUCUCCAAACGUUAUUCGGUAUUACUGGGCUUAAAGAGUUCGUAGGCGGUUCUGUAGGUGAGGUGUGAAAGCCCUCGGCUUAACCGAGGAAUUGCGCUUCAAACCGCAGGGCUUGAGGGAGGUAGGGGUACGUGGAACAGAUGGUGGAGCGGUGAAAUGCGUUGAUAUCAUCUGGAACGCCGGUGGCGAAAGCGACGUACUGGACCUCUUCUGACGCUGAGGAACGAAAGCUAGGGUAGCGAACGGG